Molecule: unclassified non-coding RNA, 408 nt
Filed under: soil metagenome
Description: partial contains 5.8S ribosomal RNA, internal transcribed spacer 2, and large subunit ribosomal RNA
Rfam family: 5.8S ribosomal RNA (bases 1-120)
Source: RNAcentral
GAUGAAGAACGUAGCGAAAUUCGAUAAGUAAUGUGAAUUGCAGAAUUCAGUGAAUCAUCGAAUCUUUGAACGCACCUUGCGCUCCUUGGCAUUCCGAGGAGCAUGCCUGUUUGAGUGUCAUUAAAUUCUCAAGACCUGUCUGCUUUUUUGAUAGGUAUUGGAUUUUGGGGGUUGCAGGCUGUUUCAAAUAAAUAGCCUUGCUCUCCUUGAAUGUAUUAGUGGAGAAAAGCCAUUGAACUCCAUUGGUGUGAUAAAACCUAUCAAUGCCAGGAGCAAUAUCACUACUUCUCCCUGCUGUCUAACUGUGACUGUCUGUAUUAAUUAGUAUGGAUGGGGACAACUUGACCAACUUGACCUCAAAUCAGGUAGGACUACCCGCUGAACUUAAGCAUAUCAAUAAGCGGAGGA